GCCCAGGAUAGCUCAGUCGGUAGAGCAGGGGACUGAAAAUCCCCGUGUCGGUGGUUCGAUUCCGCCUCUGGGCACCA
Molecule: transfer RNA, 77 nt
Filed under: Paraclostridium bifermentans
Lineage: Bacteria; Bacillati; Bacillota; Clostridia; Peptostreptococcales; Peptostreptococcaceae
Description: tRNA-Phe
Rfam family: tRNA
About the family: Transfer RNA (tRNA) molecules are approximately 80 nucleotides in length. Their secondary structure includes four short double-helical elements and three loops (D, anti-codon, and T loops).
Source: RNAcentral